This 265-nucleotide signal recognition particle RNA is filed under the name Oscillospiraceae bacterium. Its description in RNAcentral is "signal recognition particle sRNA large type". It matches the Rfam family "Bacterial large signal recognition particle RNA". From Rfam's summary of the family: The signal recognition particle (SRP) is a universally conserved ribonucleoprotein involved in the co-translational targeting of proteins to membranes. Archaeal SRP consists of a 7S RNA and homologues of the eukaryotic SRP19 and SRP54 proteins. The record is from RNAcentral. Lineage: Bacteria; Bacillati; Bacillota; Clostridia; Eubacteriales; Oscillospiraceae.
UCGCACUAGUCGGGGAGUUAGCGGUGCCCUAUGCCUGCAAUCCGCUACAGCAGGGAUGAAUUCCCACACCCGGGUUUGUCUGAGUACCGUCCGGCCCGCGCAAGCGGUGUUGAGAGAUCGGUCUUGCGCAACGAUAUCCCAUGAACCAUGUCAGGCGGGGAACCGAGCAGCAUUAAGUGGAUCUUAUCGUGUGCCGCGAGGUUGCCGUUCUUGAGCUGGCUGCGCGGAUACCGGGUAUUCAGCAGAUUCAAAUGUGGGUGUGCGA